GGAGUUAGCCGGUGCUUCUUCUGUGGGUGAUGUCGUCCCUGCCGGCUAUUAACCCGCAGGCCUUCUUCCCCACUGAAAGUGCUUUACAACCCGAAAGCCUUCUUCACACACGCGGCAUGGCUGGAUCAGGGUUGCCCCCAUUGUCCAAUAUUCCCCACUGCUGCCUCCCGUAGGAGUCUGGGCCGUGUCUCAGUCCCAGUGUGGCUGAUCAUCCUCUCAGACCAGCUACGGAUCGUCGCCUUGGUGAGCCGUUACCUCACCAACCAGCUAAUCCGACAUAGGCUCAUCCGAUAGCGCGAGGCCCGAAGGUCCCCCGCUUUCUCCCGUAGGACGUAUGCGGUAUUAGCCUGGGUUUCCCCAGGUUAUCCCCCACUACCGGGCAGAUUCCUAUGCAUUACUCACCCGUCCGCCGCUCGACGCCUCCUAGCAAGCUAGGAUCGUUUCCGCUCGACUUGCAUGUGUUAGGCCUGCCGCCAGCGUUCAAUCUGAGCCAGAAUCAAACUACUGA
RNAcentral lists this ribosomal RNA (508 nucleotides) under uncultured bacterium. RNAcentral's name for it is "partial 16S ribosomal RNA". The record is from RNAcentral.